GCUUGACUGUAUCUUGGAAUUGGGUUCGGGCUUUCUUGCGCAGACUAGGUGGGAGGCUAUGAAGAUUUCUUCUGGGAAAGUUGGAGCCAACAGUGAGAGACCACUCUGGAAAGGCUAGAAUCCUAAUGGUGAUCCUUGAAUCAGGACACUUGACAGUUUCAGGUGGCAGUUUUUCUGGGCGGAAGCCUCAUAAAAGGUAACUGAGGCGCGCAAAGGUCCCCUCAGUCUGGACGGAAAUCAGACAUUGAGUGUAAAGGCAAAAGGGGCUUGACUGCAAGACCCACAAGUCGAGCAGGGGCGAAAGCUGGCCUUAGUGAUCCGACGGUGCCGUGUGGAAGGGCCGUCGCUCAACGAAUAAAAGUUA
Molecule: ribosomal RNA, 364 nt
Filed under: uncultured alga
Lineage: Eukaryota
Description: bacterial LSU rRNA
Rfam family: Bacterial large subunit ribosomal RNA
Source: RNAcentral